CCUCUCUGUGCUGCCAUUUGGGAC
RNAcentral lists this microRNA (24 nucleotides) under Danio rerio (zebrafish). RNAcentral's name for it is "dre-miR-2196". The record is from miRBase by way of RNAcentral. Lineage: Eukaryota; Metazoa; Chordata; Actinopteri; Cypriniformes; Danionidae.